This 1074-nucleotide long non-coding RNA is filed under the name Equus caballus (horse). RNAcentral describes it as "lncRNA (ENSECAG00000052639.1)". The record is from RNAcentral. Lineage: Eukaryota; Metazoa; Chordata; Mammalia; Perissodactyla; Equidae.
GGGAAGAGGCUGGCAUAGAGUUCCCAGGGGGUACCCAGCAGACAGACAGCUCUGUAAUUUGGGGGAGAAGAAGAGUUGUCCUUUUUGUGUACUGGAUAGGCUGUGCUCUGAGCCCGUUCCAUGAAUUAAGAUCACUCAGUUACUUUGCAAGGAAGGAGUCCAGAACAUCAACCAGAAGAGGGUAUAAAUAAUUCUGGAGGGAAAAGAGCAUCUUUCCAGGAACCUCUGCAUCUGAAGGGCACCACUGUCUUGCCCAACCGGGCCUCAGUGCUCUAUGAUCCUGAGUGUUGGGAGACUCCCCUGACAGUUCGACUCUGGCCACUUCCUGGACAAGGACAGAAACUUCAUGGUCAGUGAAGCCUUCCUGCCAUUCUCUUUCCAGCUGCAAGAGGGGAGCCCAGGGCUCAGGGUGGAGCACAUCUUUGGGAGCAUUCUACAGUGCCAGCCCCAGAGGAUCUCUGCAAUGUCCUGUCUGAGCUGCCUCAGCCCAGGUCCUAGGGAGGAGGGCCUGGAGCCAGGGGUGGUCUGGAGACCUGUUGCACACAAAGUCUUUCCUCAGUCUCUCUCACUUCCUGCAAAGUUGGAAAAGAGGAAGAACAGGGGUUAACCUAGCUCAGCUGCUCAUGGUUCCCCCUUAGACAAGCUCUGGGGAGUGACACUGGAGAGUAGACUUAGUAAAGAUUCUACAAAGGAAGCUCAGUUUCGGCAGCUUAGUUCCUAGGUUAGGCUAGUUAUGUUUUGGAAGGGAAAGAUUUUACAAGGUUAGUUAAGGUUCGGCAUUGAAUCACUUCACAAGAUUAAUUUGGGGAGUCGAGCCUCACAAGGUAGCAGCUAACUAAGUUCAGAGGGAAAGACGUUGGAACAAAACUGUAAACCUAACAAUAUGUGCAAACACUGUUGAUGCUGGAGCUGCCGGUAAACCAAAAACCCGGCAGCUGAUUUUCUGCCCUCUCCUGCCCUCUCCUGACCAGACAGAGGAAGUGCAGGUCCCUGCAGACCUAGCGCUUGGAAAGAGCUGGGUCUCUGUAUUGGGCAAAGUCAGAAGCCAAGGCAACUGUUUCCAGCAAAUUGCCC